GGACUGGACAGUGGCAGAUUUUAGUGUUUAGAAAAAGUUACAAAUAAUGGUUAUAAUGUGAGACAGAAGGCUUAUUUGUAAUGUAGUAGCAUCUGUGAGGCCCAGAUCAUAUCGCCAUUGAGGUAGGUGUAUGGUCAUGUAACGCAGUUCCUGCCCUGAAGAGUUUAUAAUCCAAGUACUAAGAGUCUGAAUAAAGUUUGGAACAUCCAUAUAGGAGAGAUGAGAAGUAGAAUAAGAGAGGGUCAGGAUGAAAGGAAUGGAAGUGUGUGCUAUCUUAAACGAUUACUUGAAAUUGGCAUUUUUGGUGCCCAUUUGGCUUAUUAGCUACAUAAUACAGAGUGAUUCAUAAAGGCCCAUGCGUAAAUAUUGACGAUAUCAGACUUUUGGAAACUAAGUGUAAAUUUGGUCAUCCUAGUAUUCAGACACUUGCCAUAGAAGUCAUUUUGCAUUUCAUCUACACUGAAAAGCUAUCUAACUUUAAAGCUGCUUAGUCAAACGUCUGGUUUUUCUUUUUUCAUUGAGUAUUGUAAUGAGUCAGAAACAUAUGCCAAAUACUCUGUUGUUUAGUUUGCUCUCCAUGUAACUUUGGAUUGCUGUUGACUGCUUUGUCACACUUGAUAACUGAACUUUACCUCAACCACUCCACUGGAAUGUGUUGGUGCAUUCAGACUUCUUAGAGUCAAGCUGUAGGUUGUCCUCAGAUUCCAAUUUCAAAUCUCCAGUGCACUCUUUUAAAAAUAUGACCUCUAACUCAAGAGAUACAAGCACAAAAGGAUUCCAGGCAACAAUUGACCAGUUAAGUAUUUAUUUAUUUAACUAAACAUGUAGAAUUAUAACUAUGCUGGUAAUAGUUCCUUCACAGUUAGACUUCUAUUUAGCUAAAGACUAGCUUUAAAGGCUGCUUUCUCUUUUUCAGGGAACUGCAUUGAAAUCUUCUGGAUUUCAUUGAGCAUGCUGAGGAACAGUCAAGGCAAAGUCAUGUAAAUUGUUACACCUUUGACAACUUAUUGUAUUGAAGUGAAGAGGUGUCAAUGAGGAUUGAGAUCUGGAUUCAUUUAAAGCCUUGCCUGUAGGCUAUGAGGAGUAGCAUUUCCUUGAACAGUGCUGAGGAAGUCUCUCUGAAGAUUCCCUCCCACACCCUGAGCUGACCCAUAUCUUAGCUGGGCUUGAAGCCAAAGUUCUUGUCACUGAAGAAUGCUUUGCUAAAACCUCUCACUUCAUAGCAGUAUGGAGAGGGAGAGAAGUGUGUGGUGGUGUUGCUGCUGAAAUCUUAUCCCAAAGCAGAUUCAGAGGCAUUUGGGCAGCGAUGGCCAUGGCUGUUGUCGACUUAAAUUGUUGGGUGGGUAUUUUUGGGUGUGGGGAUAUAUAUUUACUGUGGCAUACAAUCAAACCCAUUGCCCUUUGAUUAGGUGUAUCUUGCACCCUAGUCUCCUCCCCCGAACUUGUUUCCCCCCUCACUUUUUCUGUCCUUUAAAGCUGGGAAAAUAUGUAGUGUUCUAUGUCACAUUACUAUACUUUGUAGCUUUGUGGAAAAGGAAGUUUUGCUGUCACCAUUGAGUGAAAUAUGCUGUAUAGUAUGACUGAGUGAUUACUUUAUUUUACAAUUGUAAAGA
Molecule: long non-coding RNA, 1613 nt
Organism: Terrapene triunguis (Three-toed box turtle)
Lineage: Eukaryota; Metazoa; Chordata; Testudines; Emydidae
Exons: 3
Source: RefSeq, a predicted model, not a curated record